AAGGGUCUUGCAUCACCCGCUUUUGGUGCGGCAGCGAUGAAAGGGAACCUAGUACUAGAAGACCUGGAGAAAUGAAAUCUUGUGGAGAGCCGCAAUAAACGGCUCAAGAAGAGACCACCCAUCCCUGCCCUGUGAAAGACCAUGCUUGAGUUUGGAAAGAAAGAGGAAUGAGGCUGCUUCUGCUCAGUGAACUAGGAAGGAGGAGAAGGUCCUCGCCCCGUCUUUAUGUUUUGUAGUGAGAAAGGUGUCAAUAUGCAGUCUUCUGGGAGGUGAUAAGAGAGCAGCGGAAGAAGUGAAAUGAGCAUCCCUCCGUGGGAGUCGGCGCGUUCAGGAGAAGCCAGAAGCGCUGACCCUGAGGGGUGCUUGUGCUGGGGCCAGGAAUGUUCUGGUGCUACCAUCCACUUACUCCGGGGAUCUCUUCAAUUUGGUAACUGCAUUGCAAGAGGCUUGGCUCGUUCUUCUGGUGUCUCCAGCGAAGGUCCUCGUGAGCCGCUCCGGCAGAGACAGGGACUGCUCAGCUGCUGUGCCGUGGCGGAUCCUGCAACCGGCGGUGCAGCCGUGGCCUCUAGCCUGGGCACGCUUCUGCCGUGAGCCAGGCCAUGGACUUUGGACAAGGGAAAAACUAAAGAGUGUUUCAGUGACAUGGAGAGAAGAAGGAGAAAAAGGUCCUGCGCGUGGGCUCAGACAGCCUGGAAGCGCCGGCAGCAGUCAGCAGGAGGAGAGUGUCGCCGGGAUGUGCCGCUGCAAGGCCGAGAUAACCCAGCUCCUCGUCUUGCCCUUGGCUGCUAGGGUCUGCGUGCAGGCGGAGCUCUCCUGGCGCGGGGCGCUGCACAACGCCAUGCGCAGCCGUACCCCGAUGGCCGAGCGGAGAAAUCUGCGCUGCCGUGCUGUACGCUCGGUACGAGACACGUUUCUGGAUCAGUAAUCUAUCAUAAUUUUGUUGGACAGAAGGGAGUAGCACCAGGUUUCUUUCUUCUGGAGGAGAGAGAUUUUGAUUAAUUUUUCCCCUUCUCUUCAGGGUUAGCACUUUGCAUUAUAUAUGUUUCAAGGCAGGGAAAUUGCUUGCUUGACAGCUGUGGAUAAAACAUGAAACUUUAGAUAAUGUUUUAAAUUCACCAGGGACAAACCAGCUUCAAUGUAAUUGAUAAAUUAAACCGAAUUCAAAUAUCA
RNAcentral lists this long non-coding RNA (1170 nucleotides) under Struthio camelus australis. RNAcentral's name for it is "lncRNA (ENSSCUG00000016171.1)". Lineage: Eukaryota; Metazoa; Chordata; Aves; Struthioniformes; Struthionidae. The record is from RNAcentral.